UGGCUGUCAGCAACACUACACUCCCAAGAUUUCCCUGUGCUGUGCUCUAAGGGAAUGCACCAGAACUCCAGAGCCCCUGGAAUUCUGGCUCACUUGAAAUUGUGCUCUAGCCUAUUAUAUACAUAUAUAUAUAUUUUUUUUUUUUUCACACAUACAACCAUUUGUUUGCAGUCUGGAAAUCUAAAACCACUCAAGAAAUGGAGGACAAAGUAUUGGUGAGGAACUUCUAAUCCACAUUCAAUAUCUCACAAUGUGUGUGGUAAGCAACGUUAAAGCCCAUCAGGAUGUGGGCAGUGUUGUGCUUCCACACUGGACUACCCCCUCAGUUUGGCAUGCAGAGCCCGGCGGGGCUGGGUGGCUGGAAGGAGGUGGGGGUGCUACUGGGGUGUGGACGAUGUUCUAGUUCUAGAUGUGGAUGCUGCUUUCAACGUGCCUUCCCACGGUGAGAAUUCACUGAGAAUUGGACUACCCUUACUGCCUUCAAAGCUAACAACUUGAUCCAAAUCCACCAUCUUGCUCAGAUUAUCCCAACUGGUCUCACAGCAUCUGCCCUUGCCAUCAAGAGGAAACAGUAGCCAGAGCUGUCUCACAGGUUCUACUACGUCAACACCCUGCAAUGAGACCCCAUUUCAUUCACAGAAAGAGCUAAAUGUAUGUUUGUUUGUUUUUUAAUUUGUUGAGGUUUGUGUUAUGGCCCAGGAUCUGGUUUAUCUUGGUAAAUAUCCAUAGGUAUGUGAAAACAUUGUGUGUCCUGCUGCUACAAGGUAGAGUGUUCAUAUAUAGAACACUCUGUAUAUUCUGUUGGUUGAUAUGUUGUUUGCUCAGAUUUUCUACAUCCUUGCUGAAUUUCUGUCUAGUAGUUCUUUCAGUUGCUGAGGUCCCAACUAUAAUUGUGAAUUCGCUUAUUUUUCUUCUUGCUUCAGCUUUUGCUUCCUGUUGUUUGGUCCAUACCCAUUUAGGAUGGUUAUGUCUUUCUGGUGGAUUGACUCCUUUUGAAUUUAAGCCCUUUCUAUUUCAGAUAUUUAUUGUUAGUUUUAUAGUUAGUUUCAGAUAAUUACUGUUAGAUAAAGUACUGCCGCUUAUUAUUUGUUUUCUGUUUGCUAUUGGAUUUUUCAGUUAAGUAAUUUCCAUUUGGCUUAUUUUAUGACUUCUAUCAUUUUGCUGAGAUUUUUUUUCAAUUGUUUUAAGAUAAUUUGUAAUUGUUUGUUGAGUGGGAAAAAUUAGAGAGGGAGACAAAUUAUGAGAGACUCCUAACUUUGGGAA
Canis lupus familiaris (dog) is the source of this 1263-nucleotide long non-coding RNA. RefSeq lists it as uncharacterized. The record is from RefSeq and is a predicted model, not a curated record. NCBI's taxonomy places the organism in Eukaryota, Metazoa, Chordata, Mammalia, Carnivora, Canidae. The transcript is spliced from 3 exons.